Molecule: transfer RNA, 88 nt
Filed under: Microcoleus sp. SIO2G3
Lineage: Bacteria; Bacillati; Cyanobacteriota; Cyanophyceae; Oscillatoriales; Microcoleaceae
Also listed under: 2 other names
Description: tRNA-Tyr
Rfam family: tRNA
About the family: Transfer RNA (tRNA) molecules are approximately 80 nucleotides in length. Their secondary structure includes four short double-helical elements and three loops (D, anti-codon, and T loops).
Source: RNAcentral
GGGUCGGCUCGCCUAUUAGCGUAGGCAACGGUCUGUAAAAUCGCCGCGUCCGAAAGGCGCAUUGCAGGUGCGACUCCUGCCCGACCCA